Molecule: long non-coding RNA, 3415 nt
Organism: Oxyura jamaicensis (ruddy duck)
Lineage: Eukaryota; Metazoa; Chordata; Aves; Anseriformes; Anatidae
Exons: 2
Source: RefSeq, a predicted model, not a curated record
CUCUGCUGGGAUGGAGGAUGCCUGGAGAAUUCGUAACUGUGGAUCUGUUUUUAGCUGCAGCAAGAUGAAAGGCAUAUUUUAUGAAAGUAAUACAUUGUAGUGUUACACGUGCAAGUCAGGAGAGAGACAGCAUGCAUAUGAGUGCAAUGCUUGCUUGUUUACAUGAAUUAUUUCAUGUGUAUAGGAUCAAAUGUUGGUUACUUAUGCAAAGCUUAAUAACAGGUCUCAAGACCAUGCUAUCUGGCUGUGAGCCAAACAGUGGGGGUGUAAUAUGCUUUGGUAUUUUGCUGUGGUUUUCUCUUUUGUUGACAUUUUUUUAAUGUAUACUCUUCUCCAAGGUGAGAUGCAGGAUGCAGAGGUAGAGCUGUGGUAGCUGGGAUGAUUUAAGGGUAGCAGGGAAACAAGAUUAAAAAUACUAAAAAAUACUCUGAGACUAAAAAUACUCUGUCAGAUCGAGUGCCAUGGCUGGAAAGUUACUGAGCUUUCUACCUCAAUAACCCUCUGUCUUGUCUUUUUCCCACCUGAGCCUUCCCAGGUGGUCCAAUACAGGACACCACUUCUCCCAGAAAAUCUUCUGCCCUGCCCACAGCUGGGCAGGACCGAGGUGUUCCUGCACUGCUUACGAAUCUGGUGACAGGGUGAAGUUAAGAAAUCAGCUUCUUGGAUGUGUGAUCCAGAUUGAGCCUUUAAAGAUGAUUUUUCCUCUUGAAGCUUGUAACCACCCCUGCCAUGCUAUCAUCUGAAGUGGAGUUGUGACUGCCCAUCUUUCUAAAAGCUACUUUCUAACUCAGCCACAAAACACAGGUUUGAUUUGAGAUUAGAUGGACCAAGUGAGAUUACACAGUCUACCUUGUGCCAGGAACCAAUUAUAUUAUCAAAGCAGUUCCUUGUGACUUUUAAAAGUUCGUCUUUGUGAAAAAUGGCCAGCUGUUUUUCAGUUAUGCAGGAUGGAAUAUGACUUUUUAUUAUUUCUCUGUUACAUCUCUUGCAGACACCUUACACUGGCAUAUCCCACUUGGUUGUGCUUGCAGUUUUCUUGAGAGGCAGUGGUUUGCUGACCUCUUGACAGUGUCUGAGGACUCUUACGGAUGAGAGGAAGGAGUGGAGAACAGCUCCUUGCCUGGUACAGAUGAGGAUGGCUGCAGCUGCAGUGCUGGCAGUUCCAUCUGGAUGAACAGUCUGCUCCCUUGUGCUGCGGGCACAAAGACCAUGUUUGCAGGGUUCAAGGAGCUCACAUGGGCAUCCGAGUCGGGCCUCAGCUAGGAAAACUGCAGUUUCAGGUAGCUGUGAAUGGGUCACAUGGGGCAACACCACCCCCUUUUAGGGGCAAUACUCAGCUUCAGGGAAAGCAGUUGCUGAAGUACGCUGAAUGCGUGCUACCAUAAUGCUCAUGCUUAAUGCCUUCUGCUGUUGCAAACUUCAGGCCUGCAGAAACCCCAUUGUUUAUUGAUGGGAGAGGCCCCACCCCAUCUGUAAUUAAAGGCAAACUCAUGUCAUAAAUUUGCUGGCAUCCCAAGUGAAGCUGGUGCUCCCUGAGAAUGAAGGUUAUCUCUUUCUUUUGCUGCUGGUCCUUUGAACUUCCUGUGGUCAGGGAAUCCUAGUGUUUUAAACUAGAAAAACAAUUAUGAAACCAUCCCUGCUCAUCUGGCCAGAGUUCAUGUCUAAUUAAAUUUAACAGGAGUCAUAAUUUUAAGAGUGAUUUCUCAAAAGCGUUAUAACUAAAGACAAUUAAGGCUUGAGAGAGAGAGCGCGAGACAGGGAGGGGAGAAAAACAGAGGCACUCCUUGGGGCAGGGCACUCCAUGAGUAUUAAACAGCCGUGACUCAUUCCUGCCUCUAGUCCCAGCAGAAGAAACACCUUUUGAAUAAGUUCUGUGUGCUAGAUAAAAACUUGUUUGCUGGUGCGAAAAUCAUACAGUGCAUGUUAGAACAAGAACCUUGAUGGGCUAUUCCCAUUAAAAACAAUUACACAGAAAUGGACUUUUUAUUUCCAACUGUUGGUAUAAAUUGGGUGCAGUUUUUUUUUUUUUUUUUUUUUUUUUUUUUAGCUGUGGAAUCCUGUCAAGAUCUGCAAAAAGAGGGGAGAAAAGGGAAGGAAACACAGACCAAAGAAUGAAUGAAUGAACUCAGUUGUCCUUGUGGAGCAGGAUGUUUUUAUUUUUAUUAUGUAUGAAAUGUAUAGUAGUAUAUAUGGAACAAAUCCAUCAGCCCAUUUGACAGGCAAAACCUGAACUUCACAAGGACAUGUGAAGCUAGAAAGGAGACUGCAGCAAUGUAGAACACCACCAUGGGGGGACCUCUAGCUCUUACUUCUUGUGUAUUUAUUCUUAGGCAGCUCUGCAUGCAAUACUAAAGCCUGACAGGCAUUCUCUGAAGCCAGGGAAUCCCACAGACUUCUCAGAAGCGAUGCUAGAGAGGACAGUGUCUCUUCAAGUGAAGGACCCAGCCUUCCAUGAACAUUCAGAAAAUCAGGUUUUAUGACUGAGGGUUGUAGGGAAACCUCCUGCUGCUGCUACGGGGUGAUUCCCAUCUUCACUGGUGACGUGAGGAUUGUAGAGGAAACAGUAUUUUCACCACAAAAUUGGCUCAGAGCAAGGUAGGUUGGAACAGUGGUUAAAACGGAGCCAGCCAGCCGACACAGGUGCACCGUCAUUACGGCGUUGGUGGAGAUGGGCUGAUGCUAAAGCAGUGCUGGAAUGCUUCGAUGGGAGGCCUUGAGGCCUGCUCUGCACCUACGCAGGGCAAUGCAGGCCUGUUGUGCUCCUCGUAAACUCACUCCAGCAGCUGUGUCCACACUGGUGACACGAGAUCCUUACAGAUGGUGGGGAGGCGGCGGCAGGAUGGGUUGCUGACGUUAUGCAUCCCUUCAGUGAUUAUCAUCUGCCAGGCGGAGCAUGCCCACACUGCAGCUGAGGUGCACCUGCAACAUGGGUGGACUUGGCUGGGCUGCUUUCAACGGAGCUUGCUCGGGUAGUAAUAGCAGCAUGAUGACAGCAGCACAACAUCAGCACGGAGCUGCCCGAGCCUGCCCACAGCCUUGGACGCUUAUUUUGGUCACCGACCACGCUAAGUCCUUACUGCUGGAGUUUUGCUGCUCCUGGUAUCUGUUUGGAGCUAACACACAACUUCUGAACGAGCUCACAGCUGGGUAGUCAACCCCAGACAGAGGACUGCUCUCUAGUAAUGGUCCAGUGCAACUACUUUCUGGUAGUCAUCUAGCCAGAAAAGAAACAUAUAUUCUCCCUUUAAAAUAGGACCAGUUGUGGUAUAUCUGCAGGUUUCUUUGAUCACCUCCUUGCAAUGAUGUUUUCUCCCAUUCCUGAAAAAAUCAAAGGUUUCAGCCAUUCAGUGCUGUAGCUCCUCUGGUUGCUCAGCAGCUUCCCCUGGAGCAGCUUUCUAGCUGCCCUGUAAAAAAA